AUUGAACGCUGGCGGCGUGCCUAACACAUGCAAGUCGAGCGGGGUGCAGCAAUGCACCCAGCGGCGAACGGGUGAGUAACGCGUGGAUAACCUACCCCUAUGCCUGGGAUAACACUUCGAAAGAGGUGCUAAUACCGGAUAAUCCAUAGCCGACAGAAGUCAGAUAUGGCAAAGGCGGUGUAAGCCGUCACAGAGGGAAGGGUCCGCGUCCCAUUAGCUAGUUGGCGAGGUAAGAGCUCACCAAGGCGACGAUGGGUAGCCGGCCUGAGAGGGUGACCGGCCACACUGGGACUGAGACACGGUCCAGACUCCUACGGGAGGCAGCAGUGGGGAAUAUUGCACAAUGGAGGGAACUCUGAUGCAGCGACGCCGCGUGAGUGAAGAAGGUCUUCGGAUCGUAAAACUCUGUCCUUGGUGAAGAAAAGGACGGUAGCCAAGGAGGAAGCCCCGGCUAACUACGUG
RNAcentral lists this ribosomal RNA (462 nucleotides) under uncultured bacterium. Its description in RNAcentral is "bacterial SSU rRNA". It matches the Rfam family "Bacterial small subunit ribosomal RNA", at positions 29 to 507 of the family's 1533-position model. The record is from RNAcentral.